Sarcophilus harrisii (Tasmanian devil) is the source of this 7767-nucleotide long non-coding RNA. RefSeq lists it as uncharacterized. NCBI's taxonomy places the organism in Eukaryota, Metazoa, Chordata, Mammalia, Dasyuromorphia, Dasyuridae. The transcript is spliced from 4 exons. The record is from RefSeq and is a predicted model, not a curated record.
UCCUCUUUCAGCUCAUAUAAGGUAAAACGAAGAAAGGGGCUUUCUAGCUGGGGAGACAACAAGAAGAAGUUUGGGGGGAAGGGGGCUCAGGUUAGCAGCUGUUUAAAAAUGCGCUGGUGGAAGCUUUGGGGUCCCAGUGGCAGUUAUAGUUUGAAGAGAAGGGAUGACCUCCUUUGCCAUCCCACUCCAAAGCCCCCCUCCUCCCCCACUCUCCUGCUGAAUGCCAGAUGCAGCCCAUCCCUGCUGGGUGGGACCAGGAUGGAGCUAAGGCCAUGACCUUGACCACAGAGCUCUACCAUUCAAUGUCCACUGUCAAUUAAUUGGGAUGAAAGUGAAGAAAUCCUUGUAGUCUUGGCAUUGCUGUGUGGCAUCUUCAGGUAUGUGUAUAUCUAGAUCUAUAUCUGGUUUCCUUUAAGAUUCAAUUCAAACCAAGAGACCUCUUCUUCCUUUACCUCUCAGAUUAUUUCCUAUUUAUGCUGUGCAUAUCUUGUAUGUAAAUUACAGUUUUCUAUCCCAUUAGAAAGUAUGCUCUUUGAGAGCAUUGUAUUUUUGCCCCUCUUCAUAUCUACAGCAAUUAGCAUAAUGUCUGACACAUGGUAAGUGCUUAAUAAAUGCUUGUUAAUAGAUUGACUGACUGACUCUUAGUAUACUUGGACAAAGGUCGCAUAUCAGGCCUUGUAUAUGUGUGAUUAUAUAUAUGCAUGCUAGCAUGCACAUACGUUCCAACACACAUGUGAAGGAUGAAUCUCUGCACAUGUGUGACCCAGCUGCAGAGACUUCUUCUUUGUUCCUUCAUGCAAUUGCAGAAAAUGAGUCAAAGUUCUUCUAAACUGAAAGUAUCAUGAAUUCAGGGGAAAGAGACCACAAUGCCGUUCCCCAAGAACUGUGUCUAGACAGACUAGGUCCUUGCACAUAGCUGGAACCAAGAAGGGGGUGAUUCAGCUCCCAACUUCCUCUCAUCAGUAGAUGAUGAUUCAUUUACUGUAGAUGAUUAAGGUUUAUUUGUAUUUUUAUUUUUUUUAAACCUUGGCUUGCAAAAGAGUUUUGUUAGCUGCAAUAGUUUGAAGUUGGGAAAGUUUUCUUCAAUGCAUACUUGGCUCUUCCCCAAUCUAGAAUCACAGAAUGUCAACUCUAGAAAGGAACUUAGAAAACAGAGGAUCAACUUUGAAGAAAGAAAUUUGGAAGGUUUGAAGGGAAAAAACAAUUUGCCCCAAGUCUCAUAGCAAGUCAUUGAUAGGGCAUGAAUUUCAACCCAAGUCUUUUAAUUGUUGGUCCAUAGCUUGCUGUGCUAUCAAAGUUUUGUCUUCUCUAUCAGAUUUGAAAGGGAAAGUAUGUACAUAUGUAUUUCUGUGUUUAUGUGUAGGCUCACUUAUAUUUAUUUGAUGAAGAGAUGGUUCAAGAUUUUCCAGUGGCUUUCUUAAGGAGAAAUCCCUGGGAGCCAAAGAAAUUGACAACUAUGCAGAGCGCACUGGGGCACAGAUCUUCCACAGAAAAAUUUGCUUGUUUGAUGAUGCUUAAAAAGGGAGAAGUAUCAGUCAGAGAAACCAUCUGGUCUCAUCCGAAGUCUUUGUCCCAGGCCACAAGGCACUUCCAUUGGAUUCUGAUUCUAUCACGUAAGUGGGCUUAUUGUGGUGGUCUACUUCAGGAGUAAGGAAGAAGAAAUAGUGUUGGGCAAGCAGGUCCGUUGGAGCUGGAAGGAAGAAUGCAUGCAGAUCAUAUGGAGAAUAGUUCCUUUUCCUGAUGAGCCCAGGGGCUCUGGGACUCUUAGUAAGAAGUUAAUAUUAUUCUCUGACAUGUCUUUUCACAUUGGCUCCUGAAAUCUUGAAAACCUUAGUGAGCAUUUAGUAAAAAAAAAUUAGUGUGGGUUUAUGAAAGGGAGCUGGAUUUGAAGUUAGGAGAUGACUUGGCUUUAGAUCCUAGUUCUUAUAUUUAUUAACUGGAUAACUGUGUGCGAAUUGAGCUUCAGUUUCUUUGUAAAAUGAAGAAGAUAGAAUCACGAACCUUUUAGAUUUGAAAUGUAUCAUAGGAUCAUAGGUCUAUAUUUGGAAGGGGCCUUAAGUCAUUUAGUCCAAUUUUCUAAGUUUAUAGAUGAGAAAUCUGAGACUCGGGGAAGUUCAAUGUUGUUGUUCGGCCUUCAUUUUUGAAGAUGAUCAAUAACAUUACAGGUGAUGUUUUAAUUCAUGCAUGAACUGGAUAUAAGUGAAGCAAAGUUGCACAAAGUUGUCAGCCUCAUUCUCUCCUCCAAUCAUAGAAGUCCAGUGGCAAAACAAAAGUCAGGGUGACUGUCGAUGACCUUGGGAUGCAGUGGAUGACCUUGAUGUCUUUGAUAUUACCCAAACUCUAAGUGAUCAUCUGCUUUCAUGGCCUUUGGAACAUUUUUUCUCAUCUGUCCAUUUCAUGUGGAGGAGUCUUUACAUGUUUGGGAUAGACAUCCACUAACUCACCAAUGAAUUUGAGGUCCAUCAGUUACUCGGUUUAACCAAGGUGAUCUUACCAGGAUGUGGCCAUUGCACAUGCCAUAGCUUCUUGAAGCCAUAAGUAGGAGUCAGGAAAUUUCAGUAAUUUGUCAUAUAAGUAGUAAGUUGUCAGAGCUGGGAGUUGAACUCAGGUCCUGAGACUCCAAUUUCAAAACUUAUUCAUACUAACCUGGAUCUUAGACAUCGCUAGUCCAAACCUCUCAUUUUAUGGGUAAGGAAAAUGAGGUUCAAGAUUUAUGACUCAUGUAAGUUCAGUAUUAGAGUCCAGAUGAGAAUCUGUUAUCUUGACUUAUAUCUAAUUCUCUUUCUCACAGUUCACAGAACUGCAAAGCUUUGUAAAAUGUAGAGUGCAUUCUGUAAAUGUCACUUAUCAUUUUGCCUUUUUGCCUUUCCUCAAAGAAGAAAAGUGAUUUGUCUAAGGUCACAAAUUGAGUCAGUGGCAAAAGCCAGGGUGGGAAUCACAGAACAUAGAGUUGUAGAAAUAGAAGGACAUGGAAGUUGUUGUGGAAAGAGAUGACCCUUGAAGAUCAUCUUUGCCAACUCCUUUUCAGAUCCAUGUUCUUAAUAUCAGACCAUGUUGCCUGUCAAAUAUGGCAACUGAGACAAACGUUUGGUUAUUUUCUCCCAGCUGGUCAGAGAACAUAACGGAUUCUAAAGGUACUGCUGGUUCUUUCUGAAAUCUGAGGAUUUGAUUCUUCAUUCACAAAGCACUUUUUCUUGCAGACCUCUCCUCCAAUCUCAUUACCCAUACUUCAAGCUCAAUAGGACAUUGGCUCUACUUUCCAUGCCCUGAAUUGGGUCCCAGUCUGGGGUGCCAUUAGAAACAGAGAACGGUAGAGCUAGGAGAUGGAGGGAGUCUUAAGGAUCAUUUAUUUCAAACCUUUUAUUUUGUAAAAUACCCCAACAGGGGAAGAUACUUAUACAGGGUCUCACAGCACCCAAAGUAGAGCCCAGGCCCUCAGACUCCUAGAACAAGUUCUUUCCGUUAUUCCAGGCUAUAUCCCCGUUGUUCACCAGUAGGAUGAAUCAAUAUAAUAAAAUAACACAGUGGAAAAUUCUCUGGAUUUUGAGUCAGAGGAAAUGGGUUCAGUUUCUCUGUCUGUAAUAUGAGAGUCAGACAAAAUGACCUCUAAGGUCUUUUUCAUGAAACAAAGCAAUUUGUCUGCAGGGAAAAGCCUUCUCUAAAUGUUCCUGAGAACAGCUCAGUAGUCCCCUUUAAAUGGAGAUGAUUAAUAGGAUCUUUCCUUUUCUCCUCUCACUUUUUCUUCCCAAGAUGUGACAAGAAGAACAAAAAAUCUGAGAGAUUCUGGCUGUGCCAUCAUCUAGUUUUGUGACUUUGGCAAUUUGCUGUUCUUUUCUUGUGAUUUCAGUUUCCCUAAAGUGAGGAAAACAAUGUUUGAAAGACCUAGAAGUUGAUAAAGGAAAAGUUUAGCAUACCCUGAAAGUGCUAUUAAAAUGGGAGUUAUUAUUUAUGAGCCACAAAGUGAGUGGUCAUUAAAUACUUCCAACCUUGAGGCCACUGAGAACAGAGUGAGGGAGGGGAGCCAGGUGACAGGCAGCAGGCCCUCAGCACCCCUCCUGGCUUGUAGCUGAGCUGGCUUAGGCCUGCAUGGCCAUAUAAGGGAAGGAACAUUGACUGAAGUGGGACUAGGCGGGGUGGGGGCUGGGAAGGCCUUGCUCAGGACAGGGAUGGAGAAAAUCCAGACAUCCACUGUUUAUUUUCUUCCUGUGCACUUCCUCCUGACUUAUGGGGCUUGGGUUAAAGACCCAGUGUCUCCCUGAGAGAGGCUGCUCCUCAUUUUUUAAAGGUUGGAGAUAGAAAGAAAGGUGUGUAUAUGUAUAUAGAUGUAGGGAAUUGGAAGAGUGGGGGGAAUUGAGAAGGCAUGCUGCUCCUCCUCCCAGUCUAUUACAAUCUUUUUUACAAAAACAGACCCAGGUUGAGACACAGGCUACCACCGAAUAGCAGAACAAUCAGGUAAGCUCUGUCUGCUGGGAAACCCUUGAUAUGAAUGGGGAGGGGAUGUCUGUGGCUAGAACAGGAACUUGGCAAGGUGGUUGGGGUAUGAGACUCAUCUCUCUGAGAAUAAUAGCAAUUGAAUAUAAGCUCCCUGAGAGCAGAGCCUUUCCUUUUGUCUUAGAUCCUAAAAUCUGGCACAGUGCCUGGCACCAAGUAGGUACUUCCUAAAUGCUUACUGAUUCACCAUUCCCAUUCCUGUAGCACUUCAUCAUGUGCCAAGCACUUCCCUAGAAGGGAGUUGGGGAUAUGUCCGGAAUGGAAAGAAACUUGGACUAGGAGAGAGAAACCUUGGGUCAGAAUUCUGCCUUUAACACUCACUAGCUGUGUGUCAGUCAGCAAGCAUUUGGUUCUCUGUUUUAUCUGAAAAAUGGGGUCAUUGUGAAGCAAGCACUUUAUAAAUGCUAAAGUGUUAUAGAAAGGUGAGUAUUUAUUGUCCCUGUUUUGUAAAAGGUGAAACUGAGGUUCAGAAAGAUGAAGUGUCUUGCUCAAAAUGAAGCAACUAGUAAGUGGCAGAGCUGGGACUAGAACCCAGACCUCUAUUCUAGAUCCAUUAUUCUUUCAAUUACUUUGCACUGUACCUCCAUUAAUUUUGUUUUUUAGAGGGAAAUGGGAAGUAGAUGACCAGGUCCACAGGAUUGAGAGCUUGUACAGGAUGGAGACAAGCACUAAAAGGCCCCCUCAAGUAACGGGAAAGGGGAGCCUCAAAGCUCAGACCUCAGAGUCUGUGAAGAUAUAAAAAGGAGGACUAGUCUAUAAUCAGUCAGUAUCUCUGACUCCUCAAGAACAGAUGCCAUAUUGUUCCUUCUCACUUGACCAAGGGAAAACUCUGUUAAAGUGGCAACUCCUGAUUCCCUGGAAUCUUGGAAGAGUCCUUUCUGGCCCUCAAUAUCCUUUUCUAUUAAAAGAAGAUAUUGGAUUAGUUGACCUCCAGGGACUAUUCUAGCUCUACUAUUCUAUGAUACCGUCUUAUUUGCAUAUGAUAUCGUCCUCUCUGCAUCAUGUAUACAUUGGUACAAAAUUGAAUUAUUAACAACUAUUACAUAGGGCUUAAGAAUGUAGACAGAAAGUACAGUGGGGUUAGAAAAGGGUAAUCAUGAGUCCUGUCUCAUGAAAGUUUUUUUCACAUUAUACGUUUGUAUUUCUCUGCUUUCUCCAUGUUUCCUCUUUCUGGUGUCUACAAGGGUCAUUUGGAAUGGACUCACCCAUCUGGUGCAUCCUGAUCUCCUUCCCCUCGUUUGUCUCCCAGCCCGAGGUGCAGUGCUGCAUCUCUGGUCAGUUGUGAGUCUGAGAUGAAGCACUGUAGCUCGGGAAGGGAGGAACUGUCCAGCUCAAGAGAAAGAAGUCGUCUCACUGGAAGCCUCUGUCUCUACCUAAGGCCAACAAGCCAACCUGGGUAAGUAGGGGCUAGGGAGAGAGGGAUAGGGAGAGUAGAACAAAGACCUGGGCACACAUCUCAUUUUAGAACUGGCAAUGUGAGAAAGCUCUCCCGUUCCUUAUGUCCAUAACUUUUUGAGUGAAGUCAACCUUGAAUGCAGCCCCACCACCAUAACCCAGGACACAAUUUAGGACCUGAGAAGGUGACUGAUUGAAAAAUUUUUGGGCUUCUUCUGGACAUUAAACACAUAAGAUGCUUCUUCCUAUUCAUUCUAUUGUUAAUAUGUUCAACCUUUCUACAAAUGUUGCCAGAGGCCUAUAGGUGUGAGGCCCUGUGUUUGGACCUGUUGGGGGAACAGAGAUGAGUCAUUUUUGUUCCCCAAAAGCUUGCAUUUUAGUAGAACUAGUGAGGAAAAUAGCUAUCAUAUAGAUUAGUAUGUGGAUACUGCAUGAAGAGACAGUGGGUAAGGGUAGAGAUAGGAACAUCCAAUGUCUGAAAUAUUAGCUACAUGUUUAGACAGCUCUUAGUAAUCUAGGCAGUUCUCUAUUACUACCAAUUACAGAAAAGAUGCUGACCUAUGCCUUGUCUUUAUCAAUGAAAUCACAAGUCCAGUCUCUAUUCCAUUAUGUAAAUGUCUUCAGACAUAAACAUCACAUUCAAAAGAGGCAAAGACCACUUCCUUCUGGGGACUUCAUGGAGGAAGUAUUAUUUGAAUAUUUCCUUGAAAGAUGCCAGAUAUUCUAUAGUCUAAAAUGAAUGGGGAAGACUUUGCAUGCUAAGUAAAGGAAUUGUGCAAAUGCAUCAAAGUGGAUAGAGUAAAGGCUUGCUUAAUGAAUAGUGAAAAAUUAUUCCAAAUCAGUGCAGCAUAGGAGAGCACAGAUUCGAAAGGUAAAGGAGGCCAGUUAUCAGGAAUGCUUAAAUCCUAAACUAAGGAGUUUAGAUUUUUUUUAUCUGUCCAAUAAAUACUGACUUUAUUCUUAGACAACGGGUAACCAUUGAAGAUUUCUGAGCAGGAGAGUGGCCUAGUGGUCUGGGUUUUGCGUUGGUCUCUUGAUGAGUGUAUAUAGAAUGGAUUGAAGGAAGAGGCACUGGAGAGAGGGAGGCCAAUAUGGAGGCCAAUUCAUUAAUGUAGGUGAGAAUUUUGACCUUGGAUUGGCCCUGGAGAAAAAUGUGAGAAACAUUAGGGAAGAAAACUGACAGAAUUAAUUUAGGGACUGAUUAAUUAGCAAUUCUCUUUUCCUCCUUGCCAUAGACAAAAUAGAUUUGGAGAUCUUAAGAAGGGUGGAGGAGAGAUCAGGAAGGUUUGCUACCAUUGAGAAAAUAGAAAAAUCAGAUGGAGGAACCAGUCUGAUGAAAAAGAUGAGUUUGAUACUGGAUGUGUUGAGUUUGAAGUACAGGAAUAAUAUUCAGGUAUAGAUGUCUAGUAUCUCUGGCAAAGUGAAAACUUUAAGCCAGAAUAAGAGAGAUAUCCUUUAUGAAUCAUGUCCCUACAGGUAGGGAGAGGGACUCUGAUGGUCAAAGCUACAGCUUCUGGAACUCCACCUGGAAAAUUCCUCAUAAAAUUUGUCAGUUUUGAAUUCCAAAAUAUCCUCUUUCCUCUGCUUCCCAAAGAACUAUCCCAUGUAACAAAGGGAAAAAAAGGAAGGGAAAAAUAAUCCAGUAAACCUAAUCAGCCAUCAACCAAGUCCAAUAUUAUGUGAACUGUACCACACCUAGAGCUUCCCAUUUCUUCAAAGAAGAAAGAUGCUUUCUCAUAGCUUUGAUUUUGGAAAAAGAGAUUAAAAAUCAUUAUCAUAAUAGAGCAUUCAAUUUUCAUUGUCGUUUUUGACACAUAUUGUGAAUUGUACAUUGUGUAUAUUAUUUUUCUAAUUCUGCUUGCUUCACUUUCAUGUAUAUUU